CACACCCACCCCCGAGAAGUCGAGACUUUCUGGAUAGCUUAUGGGUCCCAGCUGGGAGUCACGCAGACUUGGCAAAGAACCGUCUUUCUGUUGAAUUCAACUCUGCUCUAGCUAGCAGUGCAGCUCCAUCUUCUAUAUUAUACUCAAGGCAAGGAAUUAGGAGCAGACCGGAGACUUGGGGGCUUCACCUGCUGUAUCUCAUUACCAUCUGCAUCUGGUUGCCCGUUGAUUGAGAAGGAGGAGCUGAGGGCCAUGGCGACCGAGAAGCCCAUCCUGUACAACGCCUGGAUCAGCUCCUGCUCCCACCGUGUUCGCAUCGCACUCAACCUCAAAGGUGUGGAUUACGAGUACAAGUCGGUAAACCCUAGGACAGAUCCAGAUUAUGGAAAAAUCAAUCCAAUUAAAUAUAUUCCAGCAUUAGUAGAUGGGGGCAUAGUCGUUUCUGAUUCUCUUGCCAUCUCACUGUAUUUGGAAGAUAAGUAUCCUGAGCAUCCACUCCUGCCUAAAGAUCUCAAGAGGAAAGCUCUUAAUCUUCAGAUUGCAAACAUUGUUUGUUCAAGCAUUCAACCUCUUCAAGGCUAUGCUGUUAUUGGUCUGCAUGAGGGUAGGAUGAGCCCAGAUGAGGGCCUUCAUAUUGUUCAAAGUUAUAUUGACAAGGGAUUCAGAGCGAUCGAAAAGCUGUUGGAAGGAUGUGAGAGUAAAUAUGCUACUGGAGAUGAUGUCCAAUUGGUUUGCUUUUCUACCCAACCCUUCAAUAUUACACUGUUUUUUGCUUUGAUCAAUCACAUAGAAAUCGUCUACAUAGUGGCAUCAUCAUAUCAAUCGUGCAUAGUUUUUUUUUCUCCAAACUACAUUUCGACAAAAUUUCUCAUUAGUCUCUUGACGUCCAACUUUGAGAAAGUGUCAUCUUACUUGAAUUUUAUUAAGAAUUAAUGUGCUGCAAAACAAUUUGGCAUAAUUUGUGUUUCCUCUGUUAAGUGGUCUGACUGAGCUAGUCUGAAGUUUUCAUAUUUUAUGCUCAUGGACAGGCAGAUGUGUUCCUUGAACCACAGAUACAUGCCGGCAUAAAUCGCUUCCAAAUCGAUAUGUCGAUGUACCCAAUCUUGGAGAGGCUCCAUGAUGCAUACAUGCAAAUUCCCGCAUUCCAAGCCGCGCUUCCUAAAAAUCAACCAGACGCACCUUCAUCAUAAUCAUCAAGAUUAUCUCAAUAAUUUGCAUGUCAUUUUGUAAUAAUUUGGAUAGGGAGCCACUGCUUCCUCCAUCCCGUUGUGGAUCAAAAGGGUGAACGAUUGGCACUUACCUGCAUGGUCCAAUACCUAUUAUAUUUCUUAAACAGAUACUAUUUACGGCUAUUGUAAUUUAAGCCCAAUACCUGCAUGGUCCGUUUUCUACCA
RNA transcript from Zea mays, 1394 nucleotides. It is a transcript of the gene named GST 18, with no coding region annotated. The record is from RefSeq and is marked validated. The transcript has 8 exons. Lineage: Eukaryota; Viridiplantae; Streptophyta; Magnoliopsida; Poales; Poaceae.